GCCGGCUUAGCUCAGUUGGUAGAGCAGUGGUUUUGUAAACCGAAGGUCGGGGGUUCGAGUCCCUCAGCCGGCA
RNAcentral lists this transfer RNA (73 nucleotides) under Iodidimonas gelatinilytica. It matches the Rfam family "tRNA". From Rfam's summary of the family: Transfer RNA (tRNA) molecules are approximately 80 nucleotides in length. Their secondary structure includes four short double-helical elements and three loops (D, anti-codon, and T loops). RNAcentral also lists the same sequence under 1 other name. The record is from Rfam by way of RNAcentral. Lineage: Bacteria; Pseudomonadati; Pseudomonadota; Alphaproteobacteria; Iodidimonadales; Iodidimonadaceae.